RNAcentral lists this ribosomal RNA (468 nucleotides) under uncultured bacterium. RNAcentral describes it as "partial 16S ribosomal RNA". It matches the Rfam family "Bacterial small subunit ribosomal RNA", at positions 28 to 507 of the family's 1533-position model. The record is from RNAcentral.
GACGAACGCUGGCGGCGUGCUUAACACAUGCAAGUCGAACGGAAAGGCCCUGCUUUUGUGGGGUGCUCGAGUGGCGAACGGGUGAGUAACACGUGAGUAACCUGCCCUUGACUUUGGGAUAACUUCAGGAAACUGGGUCUAAUACCGGAUAGGAGCUCCUGCUGCAUGGUGUGGGUUGGAAAGUUUCGGCGGUUGGGGAUGGACUCGCGGCUUAUCAGCUUGUUGGUGGGGUAGUGGCUUACCAAGGCUUUGACGGGUAGCCGGCCUGAGAGGGUGACCGGCCACAUGGGGACUGAGAUACGGACCAGACUCCUACGGGAGGCAGCAGUGGGGAAUAUUGCACAAUGGGCGGAAGCCUGAUGCAGAAACGCCGCGAGCGGGAUGACGGCCUUCGGGGUAUAAACCGAUUUCGAAGGUGACGAAGAGUGAGUGACGGUAAUGGGUAAAGAAGCAACGGCUAACUACGUG